Asterias rubens (European starfish) is the source of this 1071-nucleotide long non-coding RNA. RefSeq lists it as uncharacterized. The transcript is spliced from 4 exons. The record is from RefSeq and is a predicted model, not a curated record. NCBI's taxonomy places the organism in Eukaryota, Metazoa, Echinodermata, Asteroidea, Forcipulatida, Asteriidae.
AUGUGUGAAAUGUUUGCUGACAAACGUUUUUCGUUUUCAUGAGCUGAAUUCAGGACACGUUGGUCCAGGGAGCAGUUCAGAAUGUGAAACGGAUAACCAGGAACAUUUUCAUCGUUGUCAAGAGGUCACAGUGUAAAAGAUGGACUAAUAUAUAGAGUGUCAGAUCUUCAGUCACACUGGCUGUCCUUCACAUUCACACUGAGCGGAGAUGUCGCAAUCUAUCAAUGUUGAAGUCUUGAAGAUUCUCCAGCAAUCUGCUUUGACUAUUCAAUCAACGUCAUGAUUACAGAUCAUGUAAUUCAGACAUAGAGUGUCAGAUCGAUCGUAGUUCAUAGUGGCUGAUCAUUAAACAGUCAGCGGAGAUAUAAGCACAUCUGUGAAGGAUGAAGCAUUUGGACAGCUUUACCCAACUUCAAAGGGUAAAAUACCAAAGUUAUAAUUCUUUAUCCCUGAUGCAGAUGCUAGUCAAUAGUCCAUACACUGUAUGCAUGAUGUAGGAGAAGAAACACCUUCAUGUUCAUUGCAAGUUUCACAGAAAUAGUAUUUUCUAUCUCUUAAAAAACCUGUUUGGUGUGCACUUGCAUUUUGUUUCCAUCACAAAUUAUAUAGCAUUUUAUGUUGAACCCAAAGUUCCUAAAAAAGAAUUUGAUGUUUGAGAAUGGCAUUGAUGGUCUGUUGACAUUUAAGACCACUUGUUAAGACAAUCUUUUUUCUUCAUUUAUUCUUUUAUCUACACGGUUCCUCAUUCGAUGUUGGCAACAAUCUACCCUGGCUAGUCAAUCAACUUUGAAGAUCAACUAAUCGAGACAGAGAGUGUCGGAUCUCCGUUCGUGUUCCAGCCCAUCACCAGUGGACAUGCCUUUUUAUCAGCAGUAGUUUAGUGUUUGUAGCUUUGAAUUUAUAACUACUUGUAUCUGGGAUGGAUCUAAAGGUUUAGUCUAAUAUCACCAAGAUAAUGAAGGCUUUUCUUGAAAGAGCAUCAGUGUCUGCAAGAUUGAAAUGUGCACAUCCUGAGUGUGGUAAAUCAUUCAUACUUUCCUUGUGUGGUGAUCUACCUAUAUUUACCCAUGG